CAGCCGCCGCGGUAAUACGUAGGUGGCAAGCGUUGUCCGGAAUUAUUGGGCGUAAAGCGCGCGCAGGUGGUCUAAUAAGUCUGAUGUGAAAGCCCACGGCUCAACCGUGGAGGGUCAUUGGAAACUGUUAAACUUGAGUGCGGGAGAGAAAAGUGGAAUUCCCAGUGUAGCGGUGAGAUGCGUAGAGAUUAGGAGGAACACCAGUGGCGAAGGCGGCUUUUUGGCCUGUAACUGACACUGAGGCGUGAAAGCGUGGGGAGCAAACAGGAUUAGAUACCCGCGUAGUCCCUGUCUCUUAUAA
This 301-nucleotide ribosomal RNA is filed under the name uncultured bacterium. Its description in RNAcentral is "partial 16S ribosomal RNA". It matches the Rfam family "Bacterial small subunit ribosomal RNA", at positions 509 to 809 of the family's 1533-position model. The record is from RNAcentral.